UCUUUUUGUGUUUAGUGCUACAAAUCCUCCCGCACAACCUCCUCCUCCUCCCGCGUCCUUCGCCGCCGCCUCACGCCGACUGCAGCCUCGCGCCGCCGGAGCCACGGGAGCCGCCGCGGGUCGCCGCCUCCCCAGCCGCGGGUCGCCGCCUCCGGAGCCGCAGCUUGGCCUCCGCCGCGGCGCCACUCCGCCUCCGUGGCAAGUAAGUUUCUAUUGCUGAACUCAUCUGUACUCAGAGACCAAGCAAUUAGCCGUCGUUAGUCGCCGGAGCCGCCCGCCGCGUCCUUCGCCGCAGGAGCCUCCGCCGGAGCCGCCCGCCGCACCCUUCGCCGCCGGAGCCGCCCGACGGGACCGGUCACCUCCUUCGCUGCCGCCAGGAAUCCCAUCACCGGCAAGGUAACUACACCCGUUCCUCCCGUCUUGCUUGCUGCGAAUGUGUGCUGUGUUGGUGGUUGAUGCUGCGUGCUUGCCAGCUUGUCACUGUGUGCUUGUCGCUGAUGGUCUGUUGUUGCUGCUGCUUUCAUGUAUAUGAUUUUUUUAGUCUGACUGUUAGACUAUGAUCCAUGCUCUUAAGGGAAGGGAUUAUUAUGUUGCUGAACUGGGAGUCCUCUGCCGCCAAGAAGGUUUGUGUUGGGGCUGAUGUUCCCCUUAGUGUCCGGGCAUUUCAAGCCCCUUACAUUGUUUCAAUUUUGGUGAGAAGCGAUUUACCUGUGCACGAGUUUCAGUGAAAUAUUUUUUUCCGUUCAAAAAAAAAACUUGCUGCAUUAAUUUGUUUUAUCUGCCGAGCAGGUGAUGGCGCACGGGGACGAGCUUCCUGGACAAGAAGAUCUAUGUAUUCUUCUCGAUGGUGCAAAGUUGAGGUGUUCUCAAAUCUCAGUGACCUAUUUUAUUUUACUAUUGACACUUGAAUGCUCUGUUCUUUCUGAUUAGUUUUUUUUCUUUAUUCUUAUGUUCUUUACUUCCGAUUUCAACUUUCCAAGGAUUUAUUAGUUAAUAAAAGUUCAAGGAUUGUUGGAGAACAUGGAGCCUUGGGUAGCUGAAGUAGAUCCUUCCUUAAGCGCCAAAUCCCUUCUAGUUCAUACGAAAAUCAUGAAGCAAAACAGUAGAAGAAUAUAAAAUAGGGAUGUCUAAAAAAAUGGUAGUCAAAUGUUUAAGGCAUGAAGACUGCAGCAAUGCGAUGGCUAUGCUGAUUAAGUCUAAUUAGUGGACUGGCCAUCACGAAGUCAUGUUUAACUAUCAAUAUGUGAACACAACAUGUGAUUAUGUGGAGUUUGUGAGGAAAAAUGAUAAGUUAAGAAGCUAGUUGGGUGAUUGUCCACUGGCGUUUUUCGGAUAAGAAUUGUCCACUGACGUUGGCCUGGUAUGUAAACUGUCUGCAUCUUUUACUGAGAGAUCACUAAUGUAUACAUUUUAUGCAUUGAAUAUCACUGGGCAUCAUCUUCUGACUGAUAUGGACAAUCUCUUGCAUUAUCUUGAGGUGGCUGGCCAUAUAUGGACUUAGCCUAGAAGCUGGACCUAGAGGCUUCCAUAAUCCCAGAGAGGGUUAUACGUGCGUUGCACGUCCACACCCACAUCUCGACGGGUAGAAAAUUAGCGCAAGGAUCAAAUCCCCCGACCUGUUUUUCUUUCUUUCGGUCUUUGUCCUGAACUGAAUCCUAUCUUGUUCGCUGCAACAACAAGAUCUAGCUACCGGUGGGGAUAUAGAGGACACCAGGAUGGACAACACGUUGCCAUCGAGUUUGCCGAGCUCGCCAGGACAGACCAUGAGUUGGUGACCUCCGCCGACGAGGUUACCGUCUAUCUCCAGAGCCCCAUUGAUGUCAUGACCCUUGCCACCUCCACCGCCACCACCAUAGGAGCGGUGUCACCCUUCGAGCAGAGCUAAAAAGAGUGAUGCUAUUCCUUGGUCAGGUUAUGUUGCAGAUUAUUAUUUUGAGGAAAAACAUUUAUGGAACUCAGUGUCUUUUAUUUUUAUUUUCCUGAAUUUGCAGCCGCUAAGUUUCUGAAGCUUGAUCGACAUCUUUUUAAGCAAUAAUGGUAAUCACGAGUGACCUGAUACCGAUAUGCAUCCUUGCAACCGAUAUUGCUUUCUAUCUGAUUUCGCUCAAAUUGAACAGUUUGGCAGUGGGUGUUGGGUAGUAGUUUUGAUCAAUUCAUGAUAUUGUGUGAAAUAAUCCUAUUGGAUUGGUCUCCAAUUUUAUGUUGUGGAUUAAAAAAAGUAGCAAUGGUUUACAAGUCCCCGCUAAAAACAAGUAAACCUGUUGUUGUCAAAAUUUCAAACCAACUAAGCAAGCAGAGAGCAAUGAUUGCAUAGCAAUAAGGGCCUGCCUCGGUCGUUUGACAUAUGACAUGACAUAGACAUCAUUUACAAGUCCAAGAACGCUCUACAAAAACCAGUUACCCAAACUUACCCUGAGCUUGUUAAUUAAUAGUUUAAUACUAGGAUUCUUAUGCAUGUCUACUGUUGUUUAGGAAGCUCAGGACAUGAUGGUAGACAUCAUUUACAAGUCCAAGAACGCUCUACAAAAACCAGUUACCCAAACUUACCCUGAGCUUGUUAAUUAAUAGUUUAAUACUAGGAUUCUUAUGCAUGUCUACUGUUGUUUAGGAAGCUCAGGACAUGAUGGUUCCCUUUUGGACAAAAAAGAAAAAAUAGUACCAACGUGUUAACCUAAUGCUUAGCUGAUUAACUGCAGAUCAAAAUUUAUUUAUCCAUGUUUCCGCAAUAUAUAAGUACACGUGGUUAUUGGUCAGUGACCUGGGCAUAUGUAAACUUUUAUGCAUUCUGAAUUUUUAGCCCUUAUGUUCUUGUACGUUAUUCUUUAUUCAGCCAUAUAACUUACCUGUACUUCGGUUGCUCUACAUUUUUCUUUUUCGUCACAUAUUUGACACUUUGUAGAAUCUGUGUGUAUCUUUAAAUCUCCAAAAUUGCAGAGGAGUGCUACAUUAUUUCAUUAGUCCAUUUUAGAGCAUAUCAAAUGGAGCAACUUAUUUAGUGGUAAAAUCUUCUCUCCAAUGUCUGCUGCUGGUCACGCCCUUUCGACAGUCGGUACAUAUUUUCUCUUGGGUAAUUUGCUUCACCUAAUCUUUAGUACCACUUCUAUCAUGUAUUGUGAUUGGGAAAAGCUUACCUUCUGCCGGCCGAUUGCGCCCGCCAGUCCGCCGGCUCCGUGGCCGUCCGAUCUAUACUUUAUCAGACGGUCGAGAGCACUCCCGUGUCUACUGGAGGCAUGUCCAUUUCUUGCAACUCACCUCUUGUUUCAGGACAACCAUUCCUGCAACGGGAUAACAGAAGGGGUCUUUCAUUGCGCAACAGCGUGGCUUGUGUGGCUGGGAGUGUGAGCGGUUGGAUUUGGGAGGGCGGCGGACGCGGCGGCGCAAGGCAUUGGGCGACCGGGGCUUAUCCAACGUGGUGGUGUCGACGACUGGCUCCUUCCCUAAUUUUUUGGCCGAUGUGGUGAUGGUGGUGUUGCCUGCAAUUUCUCUUGUUUCUACAACAGAGUGUUUCUGCUAUAGAGCGUUUGUUGCGGGAAGUAACGAGUGGGCAUGCGGUCUUGUUUCUGCAACAUAGCAUUUGUUGCAGGAAGUAACGAGGUGGCAUGCGCUUUGCAACAGGGCGUUUGUUGCGGGAAGUAACGAGUAGGGCAUAUGCGGUCUUGUUUCUGUGCAACAGAGCAUUUUUUAUGGGAAGUAACGAGUGGGCAUGCAGUCUUGUUUCUGCAACAGAGCGUUUGUUGCGGGAAGUAAUGAGUGGACAUGCGGGACGCGGACACUACAUCAGACGACUAUCAGCUCGGGCAUCCAAGGGCCAUCAAGGCGGCAGAUAAUAUGUAAACAUCGGCCGGCGGAAGCGUAGCAGCGCCCAUUGUGAUUCACCUUUAAUGUCAGUAUUUUGUGCAUGGCCCCUUAAGCUCAUGUCUUCUAUUGCCGUUUGCAAACUAUCAUUUUCGGUCAGCUCAUAUCACUCUAUGCAUGCUAUCAAUUUUUCUUGCUUACUAAAUGGUAGUCUGGCCAUGACCUGUUUGUGUCAUCAAAGAAGGGAAUUUUCCUUCUUUUUUCUACUUUUCUCUUGUGUUUGUAAAAUAUAUUAUUUUUUGUUGUAUAUUACAGAAGGAUUGGGCAUGGAGGUUUCAGAUCCACAUGUGAGUGUUUAUGUAUAUAUUAUACGUACCUCUGUAUAUCUUUCCAAAUUCCAUCUUUUGGCAUUACCAUAUUUUUAAAGAAUGGUUGUUUUGUGAGUCAUUUGUUUACUUAUGUUGUGUUUUCACUGACCAUGAGUGGAUUAUUAUAAAACACUUUGUUGGACAACAGUAUUCUUGCGGUUUGUGGCUAGGUUGGGCACCAAGUAUAAACUGGUAA
Molecule: RNA transcript, 4359 nt
Organism: Triticum aestivum (bread wheat)
Lineage: Eukaryota; Viridiplantae; Streptophyta; Magnoliopsida; Poales; Poaceae
Exons: 3
Source: RefSeq, a predicted model, not a curated record